AAAAAGCUCGUAGUUGGAUCUCAGUUCGGGAAGGGUGGUCCUCCUACCGGAGGUCACUGCCUUUUCCCAACACCGGCCGGUUUCCCUGGAUGAUCUUCACCGGUUGUCUUGGGUGACCGGCAAGUUUACUUUGAAAAAAUUAGAGUGCUCAAAGCAGGCGUGACGCCUGAAUAAUGUUGCAUGGAAUAAUGGAAUAGGACCUCGGUUCUAUUUUGUUGGUUUUCGGAACACGAGGUAAUGAUUAAGAGGGACAGACGGGGGCAUUCGUAUUGCGACGCUAGAGGUGAAAUUCUUGGACCGUCGCAAGACGAACUACUGCGAAAGCAUUUGCCAAGAAUGUUUCCAUUAAUCAAGAACGAAAGUUAGAGGUUCGAAGGCGAUCAGAUACCGCCCUAGUUCUAACCAUAAACGAUGCCAGCCAGCGAUCCGGCUGUGUUCCUCAAAUGACACGCCGGGCAGCUUCCGGGAAACCAAAGCUUUUGGGUUCCGGGGGUAGUAUGGUUGCAAAGCUGAAACUUAAAGGAAUUGACGGAAGGGCACCACCAGCCAUGGAGCAUGCGGCUAAAUUUGACUCAACACGGGGAAUCUUACCCGGUCCGGACACAGGAAGGAUUGACAGAUUGAGAGCUCUUUCUUGAUUCUGUGGAAGGUGGUGCAUGGCCGCUCUUAGUUCGUGGAGCGAUUUGUCUGGUUUAUUCCGAUAACGAGCGAGACUCUAGCCUACUAAAUAGACGUUCCGAUUCUUCUAGGUCGGACGCUCUUCUUAGGGGGAUAAGCGGCGUCCAGCCGCUAGAGACAGAGCCAUAGCAGGUCUGUGAUGCCCUCAGAUGUCCGGGGCCGCACGCGUGCUACAAUGAAGGAAUCAGCGUGUGCUUUCCCCGUCCGAAAGGAUUGGGUAACCCGUUGAACCUCCUUCGUGCUUGGGAUAGGGGAUUGUAAUUAUUCCCCUUGAACGAGGAAUGCCCAGUAAGCACGAGUCAUCAGCUCGUGUUGAUUACGUCCCUGCCCUUUGUACACACCGCCCGUCGCCACUACCGAUUGAAUGAUUUAGUGAGGUCCUCGGACCGGCGCUCGGAUCGGCCUACGGUCUAGCCGACGUGCCAGAAAGAUGACCGAACUUGACCAUUUAGAGGAAGUGAAAGUCGUAACAAGGUUUCC
RNAcentral lists this ribosomal RNA (1158 nucleotides) under Gelanor sp. GH874. RNAcentral describes it as "SSU rRNA". It matches the Rfam family "Eukaryotic small subunit ribosomal RNA", at positions 621 to 1804 of the family's 1831-position model. The record is from RNAcentral. Lineage: Eukaryota; Metazoa; Arthropoda; Arachnida; Araneae; Mimetidae.